UACGUAGGGGGCAAGCGUUAUCCGGAUUUACUGGGUGUAAAGGGAGCGCAGACGGCAGUGCAAGUCUGAUGUGAAAGCCCGGGGCUCAACCCCGGAACUGCAUUGGAAACUGUACAGCUUGAGUGUCGGAGAGGUAAGCGGAAUUCCUAGUGUAGCGGUGAAAUGCGUAGAUAUUAGGAGGAACACCGGUGGCGAAGGCGGCUUACUGGACGAUUACUGACGUUGAGGCUCGAAAGCGUGGGGAGCAAACAGGAUUAGAUACCCGCGUAGUCCCUGA
RNAcentral lists this ribosomal RNA (277 nucleotides) under uncultured prokaryote. RNAcentral's name for it is "partial 16S ribosomal RNA". It matches the Rfam family "Bacterial small subunit ribosomal RNA", at positions 524 to 800 of the family's 1533-position model. The record is from RNAcentral.